This 279-nucleotide ribosomal RNA is filed under the name uncultured bacterium. RNAcentral describes it as "partial 16S ribosomal RNA". It matches the Rfam family "Bacterial small subunit ribosomal RNA", at positions 506 to 784 of the family's 1533-position model. The record is from RNAcentral.
UGCCAGCCGCCGCGGUAAUACGAAGGGACCUAGCGUAGUUCGGAAUUACUGGGCUUAAAGAGUUCGUAGGUGGUUGAAAUAGUUGGUGGUGAAAUCCCAGAGCUUAACUCUGGAACUGCCAUCAAAACUUUUCAGCUAGAGUAUGAUAGAGGAAAGCAGAAUUUCUAGUGUAGAGGUGAAAUUCGUAGAUACUAGAAAGAAUACCAAAUGCGAAGGCAGCUUUCCGGAUCAUUACUGACACUGAGGAACGAAAGCAUGGGUAGCAAAUGGGAUUAGAUA